CGCUGGCGGCGUGCUUCAUACAUGCAAGUCGAACGAGAAACUGACUUCGGUUAGUGGAAAGUGGCGGACGGGUGAGUAAUAUGUAGAGAAUCUGCCCUUGAGUGGGGGACAACAGAGGGAAACUUCUGCUAAUACCCCAUAUGAGCUUAGUUGAAAUACUAAUCUUGAAAACUCCGGUGCUCAAGGAUGAGUCUGCAUCUGAUUAGCUAGUUGGCGGUGUAAUGGACCACCAAGGCGACGAUCAGUAGCUGGUUUGAGAGGAUGAUCAGCCACAAUGGGACUGAGACACGGCCCAUACUCCUACGGGAGGCAGCAGUAGGGAAUUUUGCGCAAUGGGCCGAAAGCCUGACGCAGCAACGCCGCGUGAACGAUUAAGCCCUUCGGGGUGUAAAGUUCUGUCAGUAGGGACGAAACUUGACGGUACCUACAGAGGAAGCACCGGCUAACUCCGUGCCAGCCGCGGC
This 464-nucleotide ribosomal RNA is filed under the name uncultured bacterium. RNAcentral's name for it is "bacterial SSU rRNA". It matches the Rfam family "Bacterial small subunit ribosomal RNA", at positions 34 to 518 of the family's 1533-position model. The record is from RNAcentral.